This 157-nucleotide ribosomal RNA is filed under the name uncultured fungus. RNAcentral describes it as "5.8S ribosomal RNA". It matches the Rfam family "5.8S ribosomal RNA". From Rfam's summary of the family: 5.8S ribosomal RNA (5.8S rRNA) is a component of the large subunit of the eukaryotic ribosome. It is transcribed by RNA polymerase I as part of the 45S precursor that also contains 18S and 28S rRNA. Functionally, it is thought that 5.8S rRNA may be involved in ribosome translocation. Lineage: Eukaryota; Fungi. The record is from RNAcentral.
AAACUUUCAACAACGGAUCUCUUGGUUCUGGCAUCGAUGAAGAACGCAGCAAAAUGCGAUAAGUAAUGUGAAUUGCAGAAUUCAAUGAAUCAUCGAAUCUUUGAACGCACAUUGCGCCCGCCAGUAUUCUGGCGGGCAUGCCUGUCCGAGCGUCAUU